GGGACACGUCAGCAGCGGGGACGGGAGAGACAGAACGGGUGUGCCAGGUGUGUCUGUGGGUGUAACAGCUGUGCCAGGUGUGUCUGUGGGUAUAACAGCAGUGUCUGUGGGUGUAACAGCUGUGCCACGUGUGUCUGUGGGUGUAACAGCUGUGCCAGGUGUGUCUGUGGGUAUAACAGGUGUGUCUGUGGGUAUAACAGCUGUGUCUGUGGGUGUAACAGCUGUGCCAGGUGUGUCUGUGGGUGUAACAGCUGUGCCAGGUGUGUCUGUGGGUAUAACAGGUGUGUCUGUGGCUGUGCCAGCUGUGUCUGUGGGUAUAACAGCAGUGUCUGUGGGUGUAACAGCUGUGUCUGUGGAUAUAACAGCUGUGCCCAGGUGUGUCAGUGGGUAUAACAGGUGUGUCUGUGGGUAUAACAGCAGUGUCUGUGGGUGUAACAGCUGUGCCAGCUGUGUCUGUGGGUAUAACAGCAGUGUCUGUGGGUGUAACAGCUGUGUCUGUGGAUAUAACAGCUGUGCCCAGGUGUGUUUGUGGGUAUAACAGGUAUCCCCAGGUCUAUCCCAGGUAUCCCCAGGUGCAUCCCAGGUAUCCCCAGGUCUAUCCCAGGUAUCCCCAGGCAUCCCCAGGUGCAUCCCAGGUAUCCCCAGGUCUAUCCCAGGUAUCCCCAGGUGCAUCCCAGGUAUCCCCAGG
Oenanthe melanoleuca is the source of this 688-nucleotide long non-coding RNA. RefSeq lists it as uncharacterized. The transcript is spliced from 4 exons. The record is from RefSeq and is a predicted model, not a curated record. NCBI's taxonomy places the organism in Eukaryota, Metazoa, Chordata, Aves, Passeriformes, Muscicapidae.